Molecule: ribosomal RNA, 253 nt
Filed under: uncultured bacterium
Lineage: Bacteria
Description: partial 16S ribosomal RNA
Rfam family: Bacterial small subunit ribosomal RNA
Source: RNAcentral
UACGAAGGGGGCUAGCGUUGUUCGGAAUUACUGGGCGUAAAGCGCACGUAGGCGGAUAUUUAAGUCAGGGGUGAAAUCCCGGGGCUCAACCCCGGAACUGCCUCUGAUACUGGGUGUCUUGAGUGUGGUAGAGGUAAGUGGAAUUGCGAGUGUAGAGGUGAAAUUCGUAGAUAUUCGCAGGAACACCAGUGGCGAAGGCGGCUUACUGGACCACAACUGACGCUGAGGUGCGAAAGCGUGGGGAGCAAACAGG